Molecule: ribosomal RNA, 439 nt
Filed under: uncultured bacterium
Lineage: Bacteria
Description: bacterial SSU rRNA
Rfam family: Bacterial small subunit ribosomal RNA
Source: RNAcentral
UAGGGAAUUUUCGUCAAUGGGCGCAAGCCUGAACGAGCAAUGCCGCGUGAACGAGGAAGGUCUUCGGAUCGUAAAGUUCUGUUGAGAGGGAAAAAGGGUCACCAGAGGAAAUGCUGGUGAAGUGAUAUUACCUUUCGAGGAAGUCACGGCUAACUACGUGCCAGCAGCCGCGGUAGUACGUAGGUGGCGAGCGUUAUCCGGAAUGAUUGGGCGUAAAGGGUGCGUAGGCGGCCUGUUAAGUCUGAAGUGAAAGGUACCGGCUCAACCGGUACAGGCUUUGGAAACUGGCAGGCUGGAGGACAGGAGAGGGCGGUGGAACUCCAUGUGUAGCGGUAAAACUGCGUAGAUAUAUGGAAGAACACCAGUGGCGAAGGCGGCCGCCUGGCCUGUUACUGACGCUGAGGCACGAAAGCGUGGGGAGCAAAUAGGAUUAGAUACC